ACACUUCUUAAUUUCUCAAUGCGUCCUGUUAGACUCCCUUCUUUGCGCCUAGAGCAUUUUCUUACCUACAUUCCCAAUUUUAAGCCUAUUUUUGUCUUUUAUAUAUAUUUUUUUAUUUUUUAUUUUCUUAUUAUUGCUUUAUUUAUUUAUUUUUGUUCUUUCUUUUAUUUCCUUUAGUUUUUUUAGUUCUUUUAUCUCUUGCGUUGAUAGUGUUCCCCCUCUCUUUAAUUAUUUCUUUUAUCUUUUUUAUUGCUUUAUUUUUUAGUUUAUUUUAUUGUAUUUUUAGUUGAUGCAUAAUUGUUAAUCCAAAAAGAUAAAAUGCGAUAAAACCUCAAUCAACAUCUUUUUUAAUAAGAACCUCGUAUCAUUUCAAACCAAUUCAUAAACUAUUUUCACUAAUGCGAUAAAACCUCAAUCAAC
RNAcentral lists this long non-coding RNA (420 nucleotides) under Lathyrus oleraceus (garden pea). RNAcentral describes it as "Pisum sativum (pea) long non-coding RNA (PSAT_LNC021072)". Lineage: Eukaryota; Viridiplantae; Streptophyta; Magnoliopsida; Fabales; Fabaceae. The record is from RNAcentral.